UGAGACUGUGUGGCAGAGGUGGAACGUCGUUCCGGAGCGUCUGUUUGUGGUGGUCUCGGUGUACACUUUCUUCUCUCCCAGAGUCCACGUGUUUUCACUCGUCUGCGUUUCUGUCUCAGACCCACGUCUAAGGCCACGGAUUUGGGGCGCGAGCAGCAAUGAAUCGUGGGCCGCUGGCUUCCAGGCACUCACAUCCUCGCAAAGGAGGAAAACUUGUACAUACGGUGUAAUUACGGUGUUAAUAGAGCAUAGCACACUUUGUGACUGCCCUACCCAACCUCGGGUCUGACUGUUGUAUUUACUCCACCA
Hippopotamus amphibius kiboko is the source of this 309-nucleotide long non-coding RNA. RefSeq lists it as uncharacterized. The transcript has 3 exons. The record is from RefSeq and is a predicted model, not a curated record. Lineage: Eukaryota; Metazoa; Chordata; Mammalia; Artiodactyla; Hippopotamidae.